This 794-nucleotide ribosomal RNA is filed under the name Bacillus sp. (in: firmicutes). Its description in RNAcentral is "bacterial SSU rRNA". It matches the Rfam family "Bacterial small subunit ribosomal RNA", at positions 51 to 862 of the family's 1533-position model. Lineage: Bacteria; Bacillati; Bacillota; Bacilli; Caryophanales; Bacillaceae. The record is from RNAcentral.
AUACAUGCAAGUCGGCGGACAGAAGGGAGCUUGCUCCCGGAUGUUAGCGGCGSGGGUGAGUAACACGUGGGUAACCUGCCUGUAAGACUGGGAUAACUCCGGGAAACCGGAGCUUACCGGAUAGUUCCUUGAACCGCAUGUUCAAGGAUGAAAGACGGUUUCGGCUGUCACUCAGAUGGACCCGCGGCGCAUUAGCUAGUUGGUGAGGUAACGGCUCACCAAGGCGACGAUGCGUAGCCGACCUGAGAGGGUGCGGCCACACUGGGACUGAGAACGGCCCAGACUCCUACGGGAGGCAGCAGUAGGGAAUCUUCCGCAAUGGACGAAAGACGGAGCAACGCCGCGUGAGUGAUGAAGGUUUUCGGAUGUAAAGCUCUGUUGUUAGGGAAGAACAAGUGCAAGAGUAACUGCUUGCACCUUCGGUACCUAACCAGAAAGCCACGGCUAACUACGUGCCAGCCGCGGUAAUACGUAGGUGGCAAGUCCGGAAUUAUUGGGCGUAAAGGCUCGCAGGCGGUUUCUUAAGUCUGAUGUGAAAGCCCCCGGCUCAACCGGGGAGGGUCAUGGAAACUGGGAAACUUGAGUGCAGAAGAGGAGAGUGGAAUUCCACGUGUAGCGGUGAAAUGCGUAGAGAUGUGGAGGAACACCAGUGGCGAAGGCGACUCUCUGGUCUGUAACUGACGCUGAGGAGCGAAAGCGUGAGCGAACAGGAUUAGAUACCCUGGUAGUCCACGCCGUAAACGAUGARUGCUAAGUGUAGGGGGUUUCCGCCCCUUAGUGCUGCUAACGCAUUA